Molecule: non-coding RNA, 143 nt
Organism: Ophiocordyceps sinensis CO18
Lineage: Eukaryota; Fungi; Ascomycota; Sordariomycetes; Hypocreales; Ophiocordycipitaceae
Source: Rfam
UUUGGUAUUUUCUCUACCUAACACUAUUUACACAUGCAAAUUAGUAAUGAUUUGUGUGAAGCUGUAAAUACAAUGUAGCCUCUCUUAAAUGGGAAUGUUAAUAUAGACAUAAUUUAUAUAUUACCAGGAGCUAGUGUAAGUAA